UUUGAGGUUCUUGGUGCUGGUUCCCCAGGUUCCCCAGGUUCCCCUUCCUCUAAAGCCAGUUGGAUUCUCCCACUUCCUGUUUGACAGCCUGUACCUUCACCUGGGAGCACCUGCAACAAACUUCUAGGAUCGUAAAUCCGUGUCUGAUGGAGCCCGAGUUUCAGCGAGUUAAUUUUGAGUUUUUGGAGGAAUUGAGAUGCCUACAAUCGUCAAAUCUGCCAGAACCAGAUGGACAGAAGUUUUUAAAAAAGUCUCCCCAGGGACCAGCUGUGGUUUUGGGCCACGCUACUGCCACAGUCCCUGGCUCUGUAAUCCCUGCAGGGCCCAGAGCUCUGAGAAACACGGCAAGAGGCUUCUCCCAGACCAACCAGGCUGUCAUUAAAUCACUGAUCUGUUCAUUAGAGGCCACCAGCAGAGCAGAAUCAGCUCAGAUUGAACUCCGGUUUAAGUAUCGGAGCAGCCGGACGUCGUUAUGCUGCAUCUGUGAAACUCGAUUAAAGAAGACGACAAACACUCUGUGUUCGUCUUCUAUCGUUCUGGGUCGGGGGACAGAGGAACACCGUAAACAAUCCCACGACCUCAUUUGGACCCCCGAGCCAUAUUUCUAGAAAGUCGGGCCCUAGGGGGACAGAAGCAGCGGCAUCAGGGGCCAGUGAUACCUGUUGGCCCCUCCCCUCUCUUCCUGAUUGACAGAUGGCUGCUCCAUUAGAUGAGAAUGAUAAGUGGCUCUCCUUCAGCAGAAAGGACUUCCUCUUGACCUCUGACCCCUGACCCUGACUCUUGACCCUCCUCCCUCCCUCACACCACCCACCCCCCUCUCCAGGCCCGUGUGCAGGUCUCUCGGCCGUCCACAGGUGCAGCCUGCAUGUCAGGGCUAAGUGAUGUGGAGAGUAGCUUUUGUUCCUCUGAAGGAGGAAUCUGUCGAGGAGAGAAGAGCAGAAAGAAGACGGAUGAGAGAGAGAAUGAAGAGGUGGAGAGUCUGUUGUUGUGCUGUCUUCAGAGAGAAAUGGAGGAUGAGACAGAUAAAGAGAGAGGGAGAGAGAAGAGGAUGGAAAAGUGAAAGAAGAAAGGAAGUUUAGUUCUUGUUUUGUUUAGUCAACAAUCAUUUGAGUGUACCUCCUGUUAAAAAGACAAAUAUAUACUAAAUGACAUUUAGUCAAGUGCUGUAUUUAACUCCAGCUUUGAGGUACUUGUACUUUCUAUUUGCUGCUGCGUUAUACUUCUACUCCACUACAUUUUAGAGGCAAAUAUUCUAGAUGAACAGGAAAAACUGGUGGCAAAGAGAGUCAUGUUAUGUCAUAUUACUGGAUAAUUAUUACACAUGCACUGAUGUUUAUGUAACAUUUUAUUGUUGCAGCUGGAUAGUUCGAGCUACUUUAGACACAGUUUUAC
This is a long non-coding RNA of Micropterus dolomieu (smallmouth bass), 1392 nucleotides long. RefSeq lists it as uncharacterized. The record is from RefSeq and is a predicted model, not a curated record. NCBI's taxonomy places the organism in Eukaryota, Metazoa, Chordata, Actinopteri, Centrarchiformes, Centrarchidae. The transcript has 4 exons.